RNAcentral lists this non-coding RNA (29 nucleotides) under Mus musculus (house mouse). The record is from RNAcentral. Lineage: Eukaryota; Metazoa; Chordata; Mammalia; Rodentia; Muridae.
UGGAAAGACCCUCUUUUGUGAAGACUUUA